GCCAGACUCCUACGGGAGGCAGCAGUGGGGAAUAUUGCACAAUGGGGGAAACCCUGAUGCAGCGACGCCGCGUGAGUGAAGAAGUAUUUCGGCAUGUAAAGCUCUAUCAGCAGGGAAGAAAAUGACGGUACCUGACUAAGAAGCCCCGGCUAACUACGUGCCAGCAGCCGCGGUAAUACGUAGGGGGCAAGCGCUAUCCGGAUUUACUGGGUGUAAAGGGAGCGUAGACGGUGAUGCAAGUCAGAAGUGAAAGCCCGGGGCUCAACUCCGGGACUGCUUUUGAAACUGUGUAACUGGAGUGCAGGAGAGGUGAGCGGAAUUCCUGGUGUAGCGGUGAAAUGCGUAGAUAUCAGGAGGAACACCAGUGGCGAAGGCGGCUUACUGGACCGUAACUGACGUUGAGGCUCGAAAGCGUGGGGAGCAAACAGGAUUAGAUACCCUAGUA
This 445-nucleotide ribosomal RNA is filed under the name uncultured bacterium. Its description in RNAcentral is "bacterial SSU rRNA". It matches the Rfam family "Bacterial small subunit ribosomal RNA", at positions 330 to 792 of the family's 1533-position model. The record is from RNAcentral.